This 329-nucleotide unclassified non-coding RNA is filed under the name soil metagenome. RNAcentral's name for it is "partial contains 5.8S ribosomal RNA, internal transcribed spacer 2, and large subunit ribosomal RNA". The stretch from base 1 to 120 matches the Rfam family "5.8S ribosomal RNA", at positions 35 to 154 of the family's 154-position model. The record is from RNAcentral.
GAUGAAGAACGCAGCGAAACGCGAUAAGUAAUGUGAAUUGCAGAAUUUAGUGAAUCAUCGAAUCUUUGAACGCACAUUGCGCCCCCUGGUAUUCCGGGGGGCAUGCCUGUCCGAGCGUCAUUACAACCCUCAAGCUCAGCUUGGUAUUGGGCCCCGCCGACCCGGCGGGCCCUAAAGUCAGUGGCGGUGCCGUCCGGCUCCGAGCGUAGUAAUUCUUCUCGCUCUGGAGGUCCGGUCGUGUGCUCGCCAGCAACCCCCAAUUUUUUUCAGGUUGACCUCGGAUCAGGUAGGGAUACCCGCUGAACUUAAGCAUAUCAAUAAGCGGAGGA